RNAcentral lists this small RNA (50 nucleotides) under bovine gut metagenome. Its description in RNAcentral is "Streptococcus sRNA SpF59 (ldcC RNA)". It matches the Rfam family "Streptococcus sRNA SpF59 (ldcC RNA)". The record is from RNAcentral.
GACCACCCUUUAGGGUUCAAGGCCAUACGGACAGCCUGGUCCACUGCCGA